Molecule: non-coding RNA, 415 nt
Organism: Xyrichtys novacula (pearly razorfish)
Lineage: Eukaryota; Metazoa; Chordata; Actinopteri; Labriformes; Labridae
Source: the annotation of a GenBank genome assembly
GUAUAAUCAUGGAUGAAUGUUUAUGUAAUGUUUUAUUUUCUGUGUCGGACCCCAGGAAGACUAGCGUUGUCUUGACAAAAGCUAAUGGGGAUCCUAAUAAACAAUAAACCCCCAAAACACAGAACACUGUCUAAAAAUUAACUUUAAACACGAUCUGAUUUGGUUAUUUCCUUUUUUAGAGACAAGACUGGUGUUAAAAUUAGCUGGACUCAUAAACUUCAUACCACCCCAGCAGUGUCAGAGCUGAGGUUGGGCCACCUCAGUUUAAAAUGUCUGGCACGCCCCUGGUUAUGUGUUCAUACCUCAGUGAAACGACAGUGAAAGACUGGGGCUCAACUCGCAUGUAACAGUUAGACAUCAUAAGGGUUUAUGUCCAUGUCGAGCACCACCCUCUCCAAGUAAAUUAAUGUGGGUG